Molecule: RNase P RNA, 375 nt
Filed under: Salmonella enterica
Lineage: Bacteria; Pseudomonadati; Pseudomonadota; Gammaproteobacteria; Enterobacterales; Enterobacteriaceae
Also listed under: 4 other names
Description: RNase P RNA component class A
Rfam family: Bacterial RNase P class A
About the family: Ribonuclease P (RNase P) is a ubiquitous endoribonuclease, found in archaea, bacteria and eukarya as well as chloroplasts and mitochondria. Its best characterised activity is the generation of mature 5'-ends of tRNAs by cleaving the 5'-leader elements of precursor-tRNAs. Cellular RNase Ps are ribonucleoproteins.
Source: RNAcentral
GAAGCUGACCAGACAGUCGCCGCUUCGUCGUCGUCCUUUCGGGGAGACGGGCGGAGGGGAGGAAAGUCCGGGCUCCAUAGGGCAGGGUGCCAGGUAACGCCUGGGGGGGAAACCCACGACCAGUGCAACAGAGAGCAAACCGCCGAUGGCCCACAUAAGUGGGAUCAGGUAAGGGUGAAAGGGUGCGGUAAGAGCGCACCGCGCGGCUGGUAACAGUCCGUGGCACGGUAAACUCCACCCGGAGCAAGGCCAAAUAGGGGUUCAUAAGGUACGGCCCGUACUGAACCCGGGUAGGCUGCUUGAGCCAGUGAGCGAUUGCUGGCCUAGAUGAAUGACUGUCCACGACAGAACCCGGCUUAUCGGUCAGUUUCACCU